Ribosomal RNA from Lepisosteus oculatus (spotted gar), 119 nucleotides. NCBI's taxonomy places the organism in Eukaryota, Metazoa, Chordata, Actinopteri, Semionotiformes, Lepisosteidae. The record is from Ensembl.
GUCAGCAGCCAUAUCACCCUGCAACUCACAACUGGCAACCCACUGAAGCUAAGCAGGUGUGAGCCUGGUCAGUACCUGGAAGGGAGACCUCCUGGGAAAAACUAAGGUUGCUGCUGGAA